GGCGGCGUGCCUAACACAUGCAAGUCGAACGAGAAACUCCGGGCUUGCUCGGAGGAGUAAAGUGGCGCACGGGUGAGUAACGCGUGGGUAACCUGCCCCAGAAUCUGGGAUAACAUCGCGAAAGCGUUGCUAAUACCGGAUAUCGUCCCAGAAACUGUGGUUUUUGGGAUGAAAGAUGACCUCUCCGUGGAAGUUGUCGUUCAGGGAGGGGCCCGCGUACCAUUAGCUUGUUGGUAGGGUAAUGGCCUACCAAGGCUUCGAUGGUUAGCUGGUCUGAGAGGAUGAUCAGCCACACUGGAACUGAAACACGGUCCAGACUCCUAUGGGAGGCAGCAGUGAGGAAUUUUGCGCAAUGGGGGAAACCCUGACGCAGCAACGCCGUGUGAGUGAAGAAGGCCUUCGGGUCGUAAAGCUCUGUCAAGGGGGAAAAAACCCUUUCGAUCAAUAGUCAUUAAGGACUGAUGGUACCCCUAGAGGAAGCACCGGCUAACUCCGUGCCAGCAGCCGCGGUAAU
RNAcentral lists this ribosomal RNA (514 nucleotides) under uncultured bacterium. RNAcentral's name for it is "bacterial SSU rRNA". It matches the Rfam family "Bacterial small subunit ribosomal RNA", at positions 38 to 524 of the family's 1533-position model. The record is from RNAcentral.